This 274-nucleotide ribosomal RNA is filed under the name Limosilactobacillus fermentum. Its description in RNAcentral is "Lactobacillus fermentum partial 16S ribosomal RNA". It matches the Rfam family "Bacterial small subunit ribosomal RNA", at positions 367 to 633 of the family's 1533-position model. The record is from RNAcentral. Lineage: Bacteria; Bacillati; Bacillota; Bacilli; Lactobacillales; Lactobacillaceae.
CACAAUGGGCGCAAGCCUGAUGGAGCAACACCGCGUGAGUGAAGAAGGGUUUCGGCUCGUAAAGCUCUGUUGUUAAAGAAGAACACGUAUGAGAGUAACUGUUCAUACGUUGACGGUAUUUAACCAGAAAGUCACGGCUAACUACGUGCCAGCAGCCGCGGUAAUACGUAGGUGGCAAGCGUUAUCCGGAUUUAUUGGGCGUAAAGAGAGUGCAGGCGGUUUUCUAAGUCUGAUGUGAAAGCCUUCGGCUUAACCGGAGAAGUGCAUCGGAAAC